Molecule: long non-coding RNA, 7177 nt
Filed under: Nicotiana benthamiana
Lineage: Eukaryota; Viridiplantae; Streptophyta; Magnoliopsida; Solanales; Solanaceae
Description: long non-coding RNA (NBEN_LNC021253)
Source: RNAcentral
CUAAUUUCGUUAAGCCUAAUUGAUUUAUUCCCUUUACCCAUCCUAACACCUAACCAAACUAGCCCAAACCCGUACCCAGUUCGGUCCAAACCCGCUCAACUACCAACGACGUCGUUUUGGACUCCCAUCAUCUAAGCCAUUGAUUUCGCUUAAUCUAACGGAUCAAAGCUAACUUCCCCUAACUAUUUAAGUGUCUGAAACCCGCCUCCCUCUCCCCCCUCCCUGACGUCUCUCUCAACCCUCCGUCUUCAGAGACCAAACCUUCAAGAGCCCUAAUCUGCCGCCCAUUUUUCCACCAUGUUUAGCCAGCGGCGCCACCUCCAAACCAACCCAAAUUAACACCACACAACCCCAAUGACCCCCUCAUACCUAAUCCAUCACUAGUUUUCCUUGAAUCUGUCUAGAACUCCUCGAAUCUUAAAUUCGAGUUUGAGCCUUAAAAAUCUAAAAUCAUUUUUCAUCGAACCUAGUGGCAUGCAUGAUCGUAUGUUGUUGUUUCUUUGAAGUUUUGAAGUUUUCAUUCAACGAGGACUAAUGUUGUUCAGUUGUUCUUGACAAAGAACAAAUGUUUAACAUUAGUCUCGUUAGAUCAAGGUCUCCAACAGGUUGUUGAUUUCUUUUACUCUAGUUGAAAACUUGACGAAUCUUCUGAAUUCAAAUUAUUUUUUCGUUUGUUCCAUUCUUUUUCAAAUCGUGAAAGCUUGUUCUCUGAUUCUCUUGGUCCGUUAAGUUUCGUAAAUUAGAUUGAUUAAAGUUCUAAUUUCAUCUUUUGUUUAGUCACCUAGUUUAAUUUAAUUAGGUUUAUUUUUGAUAAUUUAGUUGAUUUCCAGCCUUGGUGUUAGUUAGUCAGUCAAUUAAUUUAAGUUUUAGUUUUGAAUUCAUUUAGAUGUUUUCUCCUGUUUAGCAUAGAUUAUUGAUUUGGUUUCACCGUUGCUCUUUGGGCUUUGAAGCCAUGUUAGACUUCAUUUGAAGAGGUCUAUUUAGAUAAUUGGGUCAGAAUCGAGCCCAAGUAUGGCUAAGUCAUUGGGUCAAAUUGACCCAUAAAUUUUCUGAGGGUAACUAACAGGUCCUAAAGGGGUAUUUAGGAACUCUAGGUUGGGAAAAUCUCAGUAUCUGAAUUAUGAAGCUUCCUAGAAGCUGGGGUGGGGACUAGACUGAAAAUCUGAUGUUUACAUUAAGAAUACUUAAGCAAAAAUCAAAUAUCAAAAGGGUAAAAGUGCAAAACUGAAUUCCCUUAGGCUGCCCUAAAACUUACCUAUAAAGACACCUUUUCUUCAAGCUCAAGUCAGAUUUGGAGAGAAAGAAUCCCCGAAAAAGCUGAAAUGGUUGAGUUCUUUAAAAAAUUUCUGAAUUUCUGUAUUUCGUGGUUGAAGACUACCAAAAUUCUGCUUGUUUGGAUUUCUGAUUUCUCCUUGUUAGCUAAAGCACUUGAAAAUUUCACUUGAUACACUUCUGGUUUGAGAAAUGGCUUGAACUUUAGUUUGAAGCUGGGUUUGGAUUUGCUAUUCUUUCACUGUUUCAUUGAUUGUUCUUUUAUGCUAUGUUAGUUCAUUUAAGCUGUUGUAACAUGUUGGUAUGUUUGGAUGGUGUUGUGUUCAUGCAAUUGGGUAGCUGAAUAUGUUAUUAAAUUUAGUGGGAUAAUCAUGUUUCAAGGGAGGGAAAUGGUCCAGAAUACUCUAAGAAUUGAGCUAUGCAUUUGAUUUGAUCUUGAUUUACUUGUGACCAUAUUUAAGUGUGAAUAUUAAAAAUGCAGAAUGCUUAAUUAGUAGGUUGGUGUUUUAACAGUAAAAAUUCAGAAAGAAACGUCAGUUUUAGUUUGUAUUUUGUAUGGUCUUAGUUGGUUGGGCAUUUAAUUUUUUUUGCACAAGUGUUUGGGUCUGAAGAUUAGGCCUAAUGCUGGCCCAACUGAUAAAAGUCUAAUUUCAUAUGCAUGGGUUGUGUCAUAAACGCCUUUUCUUCUACCAAGAAUUGGGCUCAUUUUUGGGCUUGAAAGCAUUUGCUCAUUGGAUUGCUCGUCUUUUGUUGUUCGAGCCUAUUUUAUUUUCAUCAAAUCCAGUGACAUGUUCAAGUUGCCGCUAUCUGGGAUGAUUUCCUUAAGUAAUUGAGUAUCCAAACAAAGUUUAUUAGUUUGUUAAAUAAGUUCGACCUUUUAGUGUAAAAAAUAAGAAUCCCAUAAAGUCUUCCUUUAUUAAUUAGCCACUUGAAAAUAGUUUGAAGUGUGCCAUAUUAGCCAAACACAUAAUUUAUGGCCCUCAAAAAAUAGUUUGAGCUUUUCCUUUAAAAAUGAAAAUCGACGUGUGCCGUGCCAACUAAAAUCUCAAAAUGCAUGGCCCUCACUUAAAUAAUAUUUUAAUCCUUAGAAAACGAGGCGCACCAUUUUGUUGAAUUUUCAUGACCCUCGCAAACUUGAAAGUGUUUAGUUACUUUAGGCGUGCUAUUUUAAAGAAUUACCUUCCUAAACUCGGGUAUGCAUUUCAUGUGACUCAAAUCCAAAUCUCAACAGCGUCAAAUAAAAUGUAUUUCGAACUGCGGGUGCAUUUCAUAUGGCGUGGUCCAAAGACGCAUUUUAGAUGAUAUUGAAAUCUUCCUUAAAAUAAAUAAAAGCGAUUUAAUAAGUUAAAAUAUACCAUAGGCUAAAAGAUGUACUUAAAUUAGAUAAUAGGCCUGUACUAGAACUACAUAAUUCGGGGGUGCCUAACACCUUCACCGGGUUAAGAAAAUUUAUUAUUCAGCAUUUCUGGUUCGCAGACUUCAAAAGGAAAGUCGAAUUUUCCUCGAUUUGGAAUUAAAAAUAAAAUCGGUAACUUGGGACACCAAUAAAAGAUUUGAAGUGGUGACUUUGAUUCAAAUAAAUAAUCACGUUUCGAAUAAUGUCACUUUAAUUGAAAAAAUUUCCUUAUAUCACCUUCAGGAAUGUAAAGACGAGGUGUGACAAAGUAAAUUGUUCCACUAAAGGCAUCAAGAAGAUGCUAAAAUUUACAAAGUGUAAGUCCUUGGUUAACUCUAUAAGACCAUAAAACCUAUACAACUAGGAGUUAACCAAGAGCGAAAAACCAAAAGAAUGACUAUUAAGCCAUUUUAAGAGAGCUAAUGAAAUCUAAGAGGGGAAUAACAUCAUUUUCAGGGGAAAGGUUACUCCAACUAAACAGGUUCAAUAGACACUUAGAUUUCAGCAGGCUGGUGGAAGUUGGAAUGUCGUCAAAACACCUUAUUUCCUUUCUAUUCAGAUACUCCCACAAAUACAUGCUGGGAUAAUUUUCUAGGUCUUUUGAUGGUUGUACAAACUUUCCAAGAGCACCAGCCUUCGAUUGCUUCCUUGAUAUCCUGAGGAACUAAGGCAAAAAAACAGCUAAGAACAUAUUCUAUAUAUAUAUGUUGCCACUGGAUAGUGCAAGAAGAGACGAUUUACUGAUUCUGUAUUGCUAUAGCACAUGUAGCAACUAGUUGAACGUUUCUUCUGCAUAAGUUGUCCCGAGUGAAGGUAGAAUUUCUGAGAGCAAUAUAAGAGAAGUACAUUACUUUUGUAGGUAAUUUUGACCUCCAUAUAUGCUUCAAUGGUCAAUUAUCAAUCAUUCCAUUUGAUGCACAUAGUUUGUUGUACCCAACCUUCACCGUAAAUGUACCAUUGCUAUAAUUACCCCACUUUAGGCUAUCUAUGGUGAAACCUUCAAUGAUUCUGUAGAGGUCAAAGAGUUCAUCUAGCUCUCAAUCCUGCAUGUUCCUUCUGAAAUGAGGUUCCUAUAUCUUCCAUAUUCUGUUCUAGGCUAUUGUUGAAUCAGGAUCAAUAGCUAUCUAAUAUAUGCCAGGGUGUGAAUCUUUUAGAGGUUGGUUUUGGAGACACCUAUCCUUCCAGAAUUUGACAGAGCUGCCAUUCCCUACUCUAAAGGAUACCCCUUGAAAGAAUUCCUCUUUUAUAUUGUUGGUAUGUUUCCAAGGCCCUACUCCAUAUGGAGUUCUGCUUUGCUUUAUGCUCCAAUUGUCUAGCUUCUCAUACUUGUUGUUACCACCUUCUUCCAUAUGCUCGUUCUUUCCUGUGCAUACCUCCACCACCACUUCAAUAUCAGGCUCUUGUUGUGCUUUUGUAGAUCUCUAAUACCUACUCCACCUUGGUUAUUUGGCUUGGACCACUUAACCGGGUGGAAUUUAUGGCAUUCACUGUUGCCCUCCCAUAGAAAAACUCUCCUGAUUUUGUCCAGUUGCUCUUGGACUUUGCUUGUCAUAGGAAAAAGAGACAUGAUGUAAGUUGGAAUGCUAUCCAGAACACUACUGAUCAGUGUCAGUCUCCCCACCAUUGACAUAUACUGCAUUUUCCAGGUUUCCAGUCUUCUCUCUACCUUUUCAAUGACGUCAUUCCAAACUUCAGCGGCUUUGUACUUUGCUCCUAAAGUAAGGUCUAGGUAUGUUGUAGGGUAAGAUCCAGUACCACAGCCAAUAAUUCCAGCUACUUCCUCCAGAUUAGGCACCUCAUUCACAAAGUAGAUUACACUUCUCACCAUAUUGAUGUGCAGCCCUGAGAUGGCUUCAAAAAGGAGUUGUGUCAAGUUUCGGUAUUAUCCUUGUUGCUUCUCUGUCUCACAAAAAAUUAAGGUGUCAUCUACAUAUAAAAAAUGAGAGACUGGAUCUGAGAUGUCAGUAUUGUUGCCCGCCUUGAACCCUUCAAUACACUACAUUUGUUUUGCAUUGUCAAGCAUUCUGCUUAAAUCAUUCAUGGCUAAGAUGAAUAAGAAAGGGGGUAGGAGGUCUUUUUGCCUUAUCCCUUUUUGUGGGGAAAAGAAACCUACUAGAGUUCUAUUGAUUAGGAUGGAGUAUUUAACAAUGGUCAGGCUAAAUUUAAUCCAUCUAUCACCAAACCCCAUAUCUUUCAACAUGAAAAGUAAAUAUGCCCAAUUGACUUUAUCAAAAUUCUUUCUCUACAUCUAGCUUGCAUAGAAUGCAUGGGGCUCCACUCUUUAAUCUCCCAUACAACUACUCAUUUGCUGCAAUAGAAGCAUUUGUGAUCUGUCUGUUUUUUUAGGAAUGUAUUUUGCUCUUCUGAUACCAACUUCCAAAUGAGUGUCUUCAACCCUUUAGCUAUGAUCUUGUAUACAAUUCCAAUGAGACUUAUAGGCUUGAAGUCUCUGAGUUCUAUUGCACCUCUCUUUUGGGGACUAAUGUAAUAAAAGAGCCAUUGCAAGGCCUGGCCAUGUAGCCACACUUGUGUAAGUAGUUAAGGUUACCCAUUAGAUCUGCUUUAAUUAUAUUCCAUGUUCUUUGAUAGAAAGAUAUCGUAAAUCCAUCAGGGCUUGGAAUUUUAUCUGGUGCACAAGAUUUAAUUGCUGCUUUCACCUCUUCUUCUUCAAAUGCUCUUUCUAGCCAUAUCUUCUCUCCUGCUGUUAGGGUAGCUAGAUUUUCAAACUUAGCACUAGGCCUCCAAGGUUUGUUUUCAGUGUACAAAUCUUGAUAGAAAGUCAGGAUUUCAGCCUUAAUUUCUUCAUUGUCUUCACUGAUUUCCUCCCCAAUCAUCAAUAUAUCUAUGCAGUUAUUCCUUCUGUGGGAGUUAGCCAUUUUCUAAAAAAGAUUGGUAUUUCUAUCACCUUCUUUGAGCCAUAGACACUUGGACUUUUGCCUCUAUGAGACCCCAUCUGCCUUUUCCAUCUAUUGUAGCUCAAGCUUUAUGAGCAUUGAUUCUUCUUUUUCUGCUUAUAUCAUUAGUCUGUUUCAUUUUCAGAUUCUAGUAGAGCUAGAUCUUCCAGAAGUUUGGUCUUCCUUGCUUCCAGCUGGCCAAAGGACUCCUUGUUCGAGCUUGUAAUGUCUUUUUUCAGACACCUUAAUUUUUGCAGAAGUAUGAAGUCUUGGCUACCAUCAACUGCAUAGCUGAGCCACCAUUCCUUGACCUUGUCCAUGAAGCCAUCAUCUUGAAGCCAUAUAUUUUCAAACUUAAAAUAUGAGAGGUGGCUGCCCAAUCACCAUAUUCCAAUAACAGGGGUAUGUGAUUAGAGACAACUCUAGGGAGGGCUAGUUGGUUAAUUGCUCUGAAGUUGUCAUUCCAUUCUGGGGAAAUGAGGAACUUGUCAAUUCUAGAUGUCUGAUGUGAGUCUUCACCCCUAAACCAAGUGUAGUGGGCCCCUUGGAUAGGCAAGUCUAUGAUGCCCAAAUCUUGUAUGGUUUCAGUGAAAGAUUUCAUGGCCCUGGAUCUCCUUAUGCAGUUAUAUCUUUCACUCUCAUACCUACAGACAUUGAAGUCACCCCCUAUGACCCAUUUAUCUUCCUAAAUUCCCCUGAUGGCUGCAAGCUCAUGCUAAGGAAUCUCUCUCUGAGUUAUUGUGAGGCCCACUGGCCCUUGUAAAACACCAUCUAACCCAUUGACCCCUGUGAAACACCAUCUAAAGUUCUCUUGUGUGUUUUCAAACAUGCAUAAAAUUGUGUAAUGGCCUUGGUGCACCCCCAUGUUAAGCCAUUUUUAUUCGUCCCAAAGAACAAUGAUACCACAAAUUCUUCUGAUUAACUUCCGUUCUGCCCAGUCAACCCAUCUAUUACCCUAGACUAGCCUAUAUCUAGUAUGGAGACCAUUUUUCUAUUUUUGUCUCUUGGAGACAGACUAUAUCUGUUUUUCAUUUGUCAAUCAGUGACUUUAUUGUGCUUAUUUUUUCCGCUUCAUUUAAACCCCGUACAUUCCAACAUAGAAUUUUGAUCUUCAUCCAGAAAAAGCUUUGUAAUGCAUAUCCCUUUCCCUACCUUCUUACCAUUAUAAUUCAAUCCCCAUCUCGGCCUUUCCAUAUCUCAUGAUUGUUUAUUCUUCCCUUUUGUGAUGGCAUUGAUUGAUGUUUUCUGCUUUUGAAUUUGCUCUUGUUUUUUUUUGUUUGCUCCAUUCGAAGGACCAUGGCAAAUAUUUCAUGUUAUAACCCCACAAUAUUUACCCCAAAAACCUUGCACGCUUUGAGCAUCAUUGACUUGGUCUAUUGUGAGGUUUCAAUAGUUGUUUGUGACCAAUGUCUUGUGAAUUUGGAUGGCCCAUAUCAUACCAGGGAAGAGACGGUGUAUAACAAGAGGAUGUAUUAGCUUCAGAGAUACUUACAGUUUCAAAGUGACUUGUUAAUGGGGAUCUUGGAAUAACUAGUUCUGCCCCGUCAUCUGCGUCUGAAGGAGAUUCGCAUGCAUGUGAUGGAGUUUGCUGCUCUGAGAUUUGAUCUUCUAUUGU